CGCGCAGGCGGCCGAUCAAGUCAGGCGUGAAAGCCCCGGGCUUAACCUGGGAAUUGCGCUUGGGACUGAUGGGCUUGAGUUCGGGAGAGGAGAGUGGAAUUCCCAGUGUAGAGGUGAAAUUCGUAGAUAUUGGGAAGAACACCGGUGGCGAAGGCGGCUCUCUGGACCGAUACUGACGCUGAGGCGCGAAAGCGUGGGGAGCAAACAGGAUUAGAUACCCUGGUAGUCCACGCUGUAAACGAUGUGCGCUAGACGUUGGGAGGCGUAGCCUUCCGGUGUCGCAGCUAACGCUUUAAGCGCACCGCCUGGGGAGUACGGCCGCAAGGUUAAA
This 331-nucleotide ribosomal RNA is filed under the name uncultured bacterium. RNAcentral's name for it is "bacterial SSU rRNA". It matches the Rfam family "Bacterial small subunit ribosomal RNA", at positions 568 to 898 of the family's 1533-position model. The record is from RNAcentral.